AACGGAGGUGGCUAGCGUUACUCGGAUUUACUGGGCGUAAAGCGUGCGCAGGCGGCCCGUUAAGACAGGUGUGAAAUCCCUGGGCUCAACCUAGGAAUUGCGCUUGUGACUGGCGGGCUCGAGUACGGUAGAGGGGGGUGGAAUUCCUGGUGUAGCAGUGAAAUGCGUAGAGAUCAGGAGGAACACCGAUGGCGAAGGCAGCCCCCUGGGCCUGUACUGACGCUCAUGCACGAAAGCGUGGGGAGCAAACAGG
RNAcentral lists this ribosomal RNA (253 nucleotides) under uncultured microorganism. RNAcentral describes it as "partial 16S ribosomal RNA". It matches the Rfam family "Bacterial small subunit ribosomal RNA", at positions 524 to 776 of the family's 1533-position model. The record is from RNAcentral.